AGCUUGGCACUGAACAUUGACCCUACAUGUGUAGGAUAGGUGGGAGGCUUUGAAGCAGGUACGCCAGUAUCUGUGGAGCCGUCCUUGAAAUACCACCCUUGUAGUGUUGAUGUUCUAACGUUGACCCCUUAUCGGGGUUGCGGACAGUGCCUGGUGGGUAGUUUGACUGGGGCGGUCUCCUCCCAAAGAGUAACGGAGGAGCACGAAGGUGGGCUAAUCACGGUUGGACAUCGUGAGGUUAGUGCAAUGGCAUAAGCCCGCUUGACUGCGAGAAUGACAAUUCGAGCAGGUGCGAAAGCAGGUCAUAGUGAUCCGGUGG
This 319-nucleotide ribosomal RNA is filed under the name Vibrio parahaemolyticus. RNAcentral's name for it is "partial 23S ribosomal RNA". It matches the Rfam family "Bacterial large subunit ribosomal RNA", at positions 2108 to 2426 of the family's 2925-position model. The record is from RNAcentral. Lineage: Bacteria; Pseudomonadati; Pseudomonadota; Gammaproteobacteria; Vibrionales; Vibrionaceae.